Molecule: long non-coding RNA, 2363 nt
Organism: Stegostoma tigrinum
Lineage: Eukaryota; Metazoa; Chordata; Chondrichthyes; Orectolobiformes; Stegostomatidae
Exons: 3
Source: RefSeq, a predicted model, not a curated record
CAUUAACAGCAACUGAAAGCUUCGCUGAUGAAGAUAAAUGGUGAGAUUGUUACACUAAGGAUUUAAAAGAUCCCCGGUGCUAUAGAAGAGCAAGGCUUUCUCUCCAGUGUCCAAGAAAAUAUUUAUCUAUCAAAUCAACAGCUCUGACAUGAUCUGGGAACGGGUGAGAGAGAUGACAGCAUGACAUCUGGAGCAGGUUAGAAGGCAUUCUAGCCUCAUACCUGGAGAGAGUAGGAAGGAGGUGUUCCAGUAAUUUGUUUUUGUUGGGAGUUACACCGCCAUCAUCUGGAAGAGGGGAGCAGAAGGAUCCAAUGACAUUUUCUUUCAAUGAUGCUCUGAAUGGGUCAGCACAAUGAAGAAUGUCCACCCAAUUUCAUUCCUGUUUCAAACAUUCUGAAGCAGAGAAGAAGUAAGCCAAAUUCUGUCGAUGACCCUUUUAGCAUCACUCCAACAGCAUGUCCUGUGGCCGAAACAUCAGCUUUCCUGCUCCUCUGAUGAUGCCCGGCCAGCUGUAUUCCUCCAGCUCCACACAGUGUUAUCUCUGUCUCCAGCAUCGGCAAUUCUUAGCAUCUCACAAUGACAGCAACUUGUGUAUUCUGAUGAUGCCUCAUGUAGAGCAAAGCUUCUCAAAGCUUUCGUGGAAAUCUGCAUUUAGUUGAACAUAGCUCUCAUCCUAUAGCGUGCAUGACAAAGGUCACAGACUGUCCAAUCGAACUAUCAGUAUAUUUGUCAUGCUAUUUGAACAACAUUGUUAGAUGCAUAAUUCAUAGCUGUCUCAGCAUAUAACAUUCACUUUUAUGUGUUCAAAUCCCCUGAGGAAAUUUGAGCAUAAAAUUGAAGAUGACACUCUUAGGGCAGAACUGAGAGAGUAGUCUACUGUCAGGGAAUGUGAGUAUUUGGAUGAAACAUCAAACCAAACUCUUUUCUGUCCAUUCAGUUGAACUCAGAAGAUCCCAUAACAUUCUUUAGAAGAAAAACAGAGAAGUUCUACCCAACAUCCUUGCCACUAUAUCCUUUAUCCAACAAGACUACAUUUGAUUCUUUAUUUGCUGCGUGAUAUGUGGGAGAUUCUGAUGCCUUGGUGUCCUACAAGUGACUGUAUCAGAAUUACUUUUGACUGUGAUUGUGUGCAAAGCAGUCCAUAAAUGCAAGUCCUUCUUUGGUACUCUACAAAUAGUUUAUUGAUAGAAUAUAAUGCCAUGCUGUCUAGCUUUGUAAUUCAAUAAUUUUGAUGGGUCUGACAUGUUACAAUGAAUUUCUCUUGACUUUGUUAAUGCAUCUUUAAUUCACAAAAUGAAAUCAUUAAUGAAACUUCUUAAUUGGAACCAACAUCCUUUUGUAAUGAAAUGAUAUUUCCAUCAAUUGUGGUUUUGGAAGUGCAAUGGAACCAGUUCACUUUGCACUCCCCUCCCCUAUGAUUUCACAUUCGAAGGUGAAGAUUCUGGCCUAGAUUCUGUAACUUUUUCCCCUGUAUUUUUCUGGAUAUUAUUUUCUCCCUGCUAGUCUGGGAAGCUGUUCAUAAAUCUUGCUAUAUUUCAGGUUGUUGUUUUUUUCAGCUUGAAAAUCAUGUGCAAAAGAAAAUUGUUAACAAAUAACCCAAAAAAGAUUCUUGCCAACUUUGACUGCUUCCAAAACCUCAUGGCAAGCUCUUCUGUUUAUAUGAUUGUAGAAUUACUUAAAGAAGAUUAGUUCCAGAAAAUUACAGGGGAAUUAAUCAGGCUAUCAGUUUAAGGAGGUUUUUGUUCCAAAGUGUGAACAUAACAACAGAAGAAAUUGGAGCAGGAAGUGGUCAUUUGUCCCCUUGAGCCUGCUCCACCAUUUCAUACAAUCUGAACUGAUCUGACUGUAUCCUUAACUCCAUUAUCCUGUCUAUUUUCCCAAGCCCUUGACUCACUAGUAUACUAUAAACCUGUCUAUUGAAUAUAUUAAAUGACCCAGCCACCAGUGCUCAAUGAGGAAAGAGAAUUCAAAGCAUUGAUAGCCCUCCAAGAGAAUAAACGCCUUCUCAUUUUUGACUAAAUAACUUUGAAAAUGUGCCUUUUUGUUCUACCUCAGCUCAUGACUGUAAUGACCUCUCAGCAUCCAACCUGUCAAACCCCCAACAAUCUAAUACAUUUCAAAAAAGAUCACCUCCAAUCCUUCUCCAAAUUCCAAUGAGUAUAGUCUCAACCUGCUCUAAGUAUCACUUAAAAAAAAGCCUAUCCAUUCCAGGAACUAUCUCAGCGAGCCUUCUCAAGACAUCCUCCCAUGCAAAUAUGUCCCUCUUUUAACAAAGGGACAAAAUAAAACUCAGUAAUCCAAGCAUUGUCUCAUUGGCAUCCUAUGUAGUUGAAGUAAGGUUUAUAUUUGCUUCAAUGUUUAAU